ACACACACACACACACACACACACACACACAUUUUCCCCUAGUGCAUCUUGUCCUCAGGAAAGUCUUCAUCAGGGACAUUAUUUUUAUGGUCUCUGAAUGGACAGUGAGUAGUGAAGUAAUCAGACUCAAUCAGAUGACCAGCUCCCAAGCUGAAGUACAGAUAGAAAGAAAGAGAAACGGAGAGAGAGAAUGAGAGAAUGAGAGAAGAGAAGGGAUGGGAAGGCAGAGAGAGUGAAAGAAGACAGAAGGGAGGGAGGCGAAUCUGUGAGAACAGUGAACUGCGUGUCUGUCUUCAAUGAGUAUACACUGAGAUAACAACAGGUUUUGCAAGAUAACCAAUAGCAUUGACUACAUUAUCUAGAGACAUAGCUGAUUUCCUUCUUAAGGUCGAGACAUGGAAAGGACAGGGAAUAAAGUGUCCACCAUCUCCCCACAAAAACAGACAGUGAAAAAUAGAUCCAAGUCCACAGAGGAGGUACAGCAAGCCAAAAAGGCCUUUCAUACACCACAAAAAUCUCUUCCGGCUAAACCAGAAACCGAACAACUUGAGGAGACAUCAGAACUGAGUGCCUCAUCAGAGGAGUUGAAAUGAUUGCUGGAUUCAAUCUUCGGGACUUUGAGAUUUAGACAGAUCAACUGAAAUUAUGGGUAAUAACAAGAGGAUGAUUCAGUGUCUCUGUUUAUGGAAUUGUGACUCAGUUUUACUUAGUUUAGUUAGCAUAGAAGAAAACCAACAAUAAUCAUGUGUAGCUUCUUGAAUUUGUUUGAGUCUGAUAAUGUUUGUGAAAUAAAUGCACAAC
Sinocyclocheilus grahami is the source of this 801-nucleotide long non-coding RNA. The record is from Ensembl. Lineage: Eukaryota; Metazoa; Chordata; Actinopteri; Cypriniformes; Cyprinidae.